RNAcentral lists this ribosomal RNA (1246 nucleotides) under Lactiplantibacillus plantarum. RNAcentral describes it as "bacterial SSU rRNA". It matches the Rfam family "Bacterial small subunit ribosomal RNA", at positions 259 to 1497 of the family's 1533-position model. Lineage: Bacteria; Bacillati; Bacillota; Bacilli; Lactobacillales; Lactobacillaceae. The record is from RNAcentral.
AACGGCUCACCAUGGCAAUGAUACGUAGCCGACCUGAGAGGGUAAUCGGCCACAUUGGGACUGAGACACGGCCCAAACUCCUACGGGAGGCAGCAGUAGGGAAUCUUCCACAAUGGACGAAAGUCUGAUGGAGCAACGCCGCGUGAGUGAAGAAGGGUUUCGGCUCGUAAAACUCUGUUGUUAAAGAAGAACAUAUCUGAGAGUAACUGUUCAGGUAUUGACGGUAUUUAACCAGAAAGCCACGGCUAACUACGUGCCAGCAGCCGCGGUAAUACGUAGGUGGCAAGCGUUGUCCGGAUUUAUUGGGCGUAAAGCGAGCGCAGGCGGUUUUUUAAGUCUGAUGUGAAAGCCUUCGGCUCAACCGAAGAAGUGCAUCGGAAACUGGGAAACUUGAGUGCAGAAGAGGACAGUGGAACUCCAUGUGUAGCGGUGAAAUGCGUAGAUAUAUGGAAGAACACCAGUGGCGAAGGCGGCUGUCUGGUCUGUAACUGACGCUGAGGCUCGAAAGUAUGGGUAGCAAACAGGAUUAGAUACCCUGGUAGUCCAUACCGUAAACGAUGAAUGCUAAGUGUUGGAGGGUUUCCGCCCUUCAGUGCUGCAGCUAACGCAUUAAGCAUUCCGCCUGGGGAGUACGGCCGCAAGGCUGAAACUCAAAGGAAUUGACGGGGGCCCGCACAAGCGGUGGAGCAUGUGGUUUAAUUCGAAGCUACGCGAAGAACCUUACCAGGUCUUGACAUACUAUGCAAAUCUAAGAGAUUAGACGUUCCCUUCGGGGACAUGGAUACAGGUGGUGCAUGGUUGUCGUCAGCUCGUGUCGUGAGAUGUUGGGUUAAGUCCCGCAACGAGCGCAACCCUUAUUAUCAGUUGCCAGCAUUAAGUUGGGCACUCUGGUGAGACUGCCGGUGACAAACCGGAGGAAGGUGGGGAUGACGUCAAAUCAUCAUGCCCCUUAUGACCUGGGCUACACACGUGCUACAAUGGAUGGUACAACGAGUUGCGAACUCGCGAGAGUAAGCUAAUCUCUUAAAGCCAUUCUCAGUUCGGAUUGUAGGCUGCAACUCGCCUACAUGAAGUCGGAAUCGCUAGUAAUCGCGGAUCAGCAUGCCGCGGUGAAUACGUUCCCGGGCCUUGUACACACCGCCCGUCACACCAUGAGAGUUUGUAACACCCAAAGUCGGUGGGGUAACCUUUUAGGAACCAGCCGCCUAAGGUGGGACAGAUGAUUAGGGUGAAGUCGUAACAAGGU